UACGUAGGGGGCGAGCGUUGUCCGGAUUUAUUGGGCGUAAAGAGCUCGUAGGCGGCUUGGCAAGUCGGGUGUGAAACCUCCAGGCUCAACCUGGAGACGCCACUCGAUACUGCUAUGGCUAGAGUCCGGUAGGGGACCACGGAAUUCCUGGUGUAGCGGUGAAAUGCGCAGAUAUCAGGAGGAACACCUAUGGCGAAGGCAGCACUCUGGGACGGUACUGACGCUGAGACGCGAAAGCGUGGGGAGCGAACAGG
This 254-nucleotide ribosomal RNA is filed under the name uncultured bacterium. Its description in RNAcentral is "partial 16S ribosomal RNA". It matches the Rfam family "Bacterial small subunit ribosomal RNA", at positions 524 to 776 of the family's 1533-position model. The record is from RNAcentral.